Long non-coding RNA from Neomonachus schauinslandi (Hawaiian monk seal), 1733 nucleotides. RefSeq lists it as uncharacterized. Lineage: Eukaryota; Metazoa; Chordata; Mammalia; Carnivora; Phocidae. The record is from RefSeq and is a predicted model, not a curated record. The transcript has 3 exons.
GCCAUGAGCAAUAAAUACUGAUUAUUGUAUGCCGCUCUAGCUUUGUGGUUGUCAGCAAAGAAAAGAGUUCCGACUGCCCCUCAGAACAUUUCAUCCUUUGCCCAUGGGUUCGGCCAGCUGGGACGAUCCACAUCUCCAAUGAGGAAGAUCUUCACAGGCUUCCCAGAAUCCCAGAUUCUCCCCUGCACGGGAAGGAGGGGUCCACGCAGAUGAAAGCCAGGCAGGAAACAUGGCGGGAGAAGAAAAGAGGAAAGAAGAGAGAUGGGUCAGCUGAGGCCGAUUCAGUCCCCGCAGCCCAGGGAGCAUCUCCCCUCUGCAGAACAAGCCAGGCCCCCCUGUGAGGCUGGACAAAACACCCCUCAAGAGAAGGAGCCACGUCUUACUUCCAGAGCCUGGGAGAACACUGUUAACCCCAGGAUUGCCCCACGCGUGGUCUCUGAAAUGAGCCAGACUGGAGCCCACCACGUCUGCAGCCGUAUGCGUCUACUGUGCUUGCGGGCCCUUCCCGGGCGACGCGCAGGUCGGAGCUCAUAGCAACCCCCUCGGACUGUCCCAGCCUCCCCUGUCCUGGAGUUUGGCUGGAGCAAAGCCUGCUCGAACAAGUUAGCACAGGAUAGGCUUGUGAACAAGUCCUGCUUGCUACCCGGUAGGCUUUCUUCACAAAGGCCCCUAUUGACUUUACUCAUGUUCGGUGAGCGCACAUGACUUCUGCCUCCCUUGUGUGCGCAGACCCCUGCUUGACAGCCCCCCGCGGGGCAUAUUCCAGCCAGGGGUCCUUACAGAGAGGCUGCUCCAAGAGCAACGCUGACCGACUGACUCUCGGGGAAGGCCCGGCUGCUGGGGGACUUCACAGAGGGUCACCGGAGCCACAGAGACUCAGCUCCUCUGGGCCCAGGAGGAAAGCUGGUCUCCUCUUGAGCCCUCCCUUCCUUUCAACUCAGUUCUCCACGGCACCCACAGGGGGUGUGAGCACUUGGGUAUAAUCAUCCCAGGUGGUCACUUUUGCCUGAGAAAAUAAAGAUGAUCACACCAGCGGGACAGCGAGGGCUGCGUGUGAGUGUGCGCACGUGUGUGUUGUACAUGCAUACAUGUGUGCAUGCGUGUAAAUCACGGCAUGCUGUGGGUGGGGACACAGACAAGAGCUCCUCCUCCUCUCUUUUCACAGCAUUUGCUGGAAAGCUCUCGGGUGCGUCGGAAUGGAAAAAGCAGCACAAUUCUCAACUAGUGGACGUCUGUCCCAUCGCUCUAGAGAGGUCCUUCCUUUUCAACAUGAACUUCAGGGUGUUCUUAGGACUGAGAUCACGGGCAGGAGUAGACAGACCAGCGAUGCUUUUAAGUGACAGCCAAUCAGUCUCACGUCAAGUGCGAUGUAGACCGCCUUUUCCAUGCAAAAGACAAGCCGUUGCUUAAGGUUAAAAUUAAAUGAGCAAUUAUUCACAAUAGCCAAAGGUGGGAGCAAAAAUGUCCAUCAGCAGUUGAACAGAUAACCAAAACGUGGCAUAUACAUACAAUGGAAUAUGAUUCAGCCUUAAAAAGGAAUAAAAUUCUAACACAGGCUACUAUAUGGAUGAACCUUGAAGGCAUUAUGCUAAGUGAAAUAAGCCAAUUCAAAGGGACAAAAAAGAUAUGAUUCCCCUUCUAUGAGGUACCUAACAUAGAGAAAUUCAUAGAGACAGAGGGGUGAAUGGUGGUCGCUGGGAGCUGGGGGUGGAGAGAAUGGGGAGUUGGUGCUU